Molecule: ribosomal RNA, 253 nt
Filed under: uncultured bacterium
Lineage: Bacteria
Description: partial 16S ribosomal RNA
Rfam family: Bacterial small subunit ribosomal RNA
Source: RNAcentral
GACAGAGGUGCCGAGCGUUAGGCGGAAUCACUGGGCUUAAAGCGUGUGUAGGCGGAUCUGUAAGUACCUUGUGAAAUCCCACGGCUCAACCGUGGAACUGCUUGGUAUACUGCGGGUCUUGAGCCACCUAGGGGCAAGUGGAACAAACGGUGGAGCGGUGAAAUGCGUAGAUAUCGUUUGGAACGCCAAUGGUGAAAACAACUUGCUGGGGGUGUGCUGACGCUGAGACACGAAAGCCAGGGGAGCAAACAGG